Molecule: long non-coding RNA, 828 nt
Filed under: Nicotiana benthamiana
Lineage: Eukaryota; Viridiplantae; Streptophyta; Magnoliopsida; Solanales; Solanaceae
Description: long non-coding RNA (NBEN_LNC033440)
Source: RNAcentral
UCCUAUUUACUAAAUUCUCUUGUUUAAUACAGGCCCCUUCUCUGAAGAGGCCACUGGAGAUUGGUAAAUUGGAUGAUGGUCUCUACAGGCUUGUACAAUCCUCUUCUCUUAAAUCUCUUGAUCCUUGUAAAUACCAUGCUCCAUUACCUAUUGUUUCUGUUUUUUCUUCUCAUUGUACAUACCAUCCUGAAUUGAAUAAAAUGGAGAUGUUAUGGCAUAACAGACUAGGGCAUAUACCUUUUGUUAGGAUGAAAGACAUGCCUUCUAUACCAUGUAAAUUUUCCACAAAGCAACCUUUUAUCUGUACUAUAUGUCCUUUGUCCAGGCAAUCUACACUACCCUUUCCUGACAGUUCAAUCAAAACAACACAUGCUUUUCAACUAAUCCAUGUUGAUACAUGGGAUCCCUAUGCCACUUCUACUCAUAAUGGUUGUAGAUAUUUUUUAACAAUUGUUGAUGAUUUUACUAGAGCUACUUGGACCCACCUUAUGGGGUCCAAGAGCAAUUGAAGUAGGAAAAAGGAAGUUGAUGAUUUUACCAGAGCUACUUGGACCCACCUUAUGAGGUCCAAGAGCAAUGCCUUUCCCCCAAUUAAAGCCUUCAUUGCCAUGGUUAAAACUCAAUUCCAGUCUGUGGUACAAACCAUUAUGAGUGAUAAUGCAUUUGAACUUGGUUCUAGUGGCUGUGGCAGCAACUUCUUUGCUGAACAUGGCAUAAUCCAUCAAACUUCUUGCUCUCACACACCCCAACAAAAUGGUGUUGUUGAGAGAAAGCAUAGAUAUCUGCUAGAAACCUCAAGAGCUCUUCUCUUUCAUUCUCAACUACCCC